Molecule: long non-coding RNA, 2851 nt
Organism: Sabethes cyaneus
Lineage: Eukaryota; Metazoa; Arthropoda; Insecta; Diptera; Culicidae
Exons: 4
Source: RefSeq, a predicted model, not a curated record
GCUUCACUUCGUAGCUGAGCCAAUUAUCUGUGGAGAAGGCGAUUGCCAGCAGGGCAACAGCAAUGAUGGCGGAUAUCGUCGCGAGAGACAACGUAACUGCGCUGCAGGGCAUCUUGGUUUCGGAGGACUGCCUGCUUGGGCUUUUCUAGGGUACUUUCUCUACAACUACAGAGGCACACCGCGCUAGCCUGUCAGCUUCAGACGUUGCCGAUUGAUCUUCUCCGCUCAAAUGGGAUGCUGCCUGCUUUUGAUCACUGUUUUAUUCUGUACCAAUUACUGAUAUUUGCACACAUACACACCACUCUUACAGGACUGCACAAGAAUUAAAAUUCUUGGAACGCAAGAAAAAAAAACUAACCGCUCAUCAAACUCGUGGCACUGGACAGGAAUCGGUAAAUCGUCGUGAACCCCGAAAAGUCGGCCACACGUACCGUAAAUGUAUGAUAACACCCCUGUUGCACUAACAAAGAGGACGGUAUUCGGAACACACCGUAAGCUCGUUUCCUCCCACUCUUUCUGGGCCUCCCAAACACGUUCAAACGCGGACACUUCGCAAGCUUCAAACCGACAUCUUCAAUGAAUAAGGCUCAACUAAACCCACGGUUCGCUACGGGAUCAGGCAAACCCCCCCGGAUCUCGUCAAUCCGCGAUCACUGACACGCACACACGUCCGUCAGUUCGUUUCGUACAAAUUAAGACAUUCGUCAAGAAAAUCGGAAAAUAAUUCACCACUGGUCUUAUGCGGCAGAAACUCACCACUCGACUUAUACAUAUAUACAGGGUUUGUUUUGAACUUUACUUUUGCGCUUUGCGUCGCACGAUGUCUGGCCCUCCUCACAUCAUUGUCUUAUCGUGCCUUCGGUUGAACUGGUUCUCAUUCAAAAUUCAAACCAAACACUUGCAACGUCGUCGUUCGUCGGUAGAGUAGAUCCCAUCCGCACCUAUACCGGGUAAGCUGGUCUCUGGACGACGGAACAGGUAUGCAUAGAAAUGAAGUAAAACUGGAAUGGAGGAGAGAAACAAAAAUGUUAUUCGUGAAGCGAUAAUUCGACACUAACAUGAGCAAACGUUUGGAAGUGAAAUUUCACCGUCAAAGUGCAAUACCUACCUAUGUUGUAGACGAUGACAACAAGAACACACGACCUGAUAUGCUCUUAUCACUGUUGAAAUGUUUGCAAUACAAUGACUUGUAGGUGUUUCGAAAAAACUAGGCAAAGACAACCGUUUUGAUUAUCCUUGGUUGCAUUCGAAGGAUUACCAUAACUUAUUUUUAUCAAAUAUUACUGGUCCUAUUUGUUGUUAUUUAGCUACAUUUAUGUUUUCUAUAUUGGAGCGCAUUUUAGAAGUACGAGAAAUGAACAUAUAACGAAAAGUGGUUACGUUUUGCACGCCAUUUGUCAAUGAAUUUUAGUGACAUUUGCAUCAAUCAAUCGGAAAUUAUUCUAAGAAUCGAUAACUAUAGCAAAUAUAAUAGAAAUUUGUCAAUCCACUAUUGAAACAAGCUUAAAUAUCGAUCACUAUCAUGAAUUAACGGAUCAACUAAUCACAUGCAAGCAUUAUUUUGCUUCCGAGGCCCACGACGGCUACUUUAUACACUAGCGAAUUCAACUUUUACCUUGAAAAAAAGACGACAAAGUCUGAACAUGAACACCCAGGUAACCAAUAAGCAUUAAAAUAAGCAGUAAAUCAGCCGUUUAUUAGCAUCCCUGGCGUUUUAUACUGCAGGUUGUUGUUUAUCAGCUUUUUGACUGCAUAACUGUUGUAAAUUGGCAGCCACAAUUCUAUUUAAAUUCUUCUUGUUGGUACCUAGCUGCAAAUAAGCAUUGUCAGCACUAUAAGGAGGCUAGCAGUAAAGUAGCCGCAUAUUUUGCCAAAAUAGCAUUUAAGUAGCAUUUAAGGCAACUUAAAUGCUUAUUGGCUUGCUUUUAAAUUGCAUUGGAAAUGCUUAUUGGUUACCUGGGCAGUUAAAGGUUUAUUUGUUUCGAUUAGACCAGGACCAAGUUGACGUCCUGAAAGUAAAUAAUUUUGUGAAAGUAUAAAACUACCCCCUCACUUCAAUCAAUUUUUUCAUUCGAGCAUUGAAGCUAGACCAAAUUGAUGUCUUGAACGUAAAAAGAGUUUGUAGAAAAGAGUAACCAUCCAAAUCCAUUCCUCUCAACCGAUCUCAUCGAAAAUUGUAAGAAUAUACUCCAAACUGAAGUCUUAUAUGAAAACGAGGAAUAUUCAUGCAUGUGAUGUGUCGCAGCAAUUUUCAACGUAAAAAAUCGAAGAAUCACUCAAACAGAUGUGUCAGUUAGUUGCUUGUAAUUCUUUACAUACUUUUUGUAUGCAAAACGCCAAAAAAUCUUCUCACCUACAGAGGACAUUAGUUAAUUAAUGAUCUGUUAACUGAUAUUCCAUGUGUUAGUUAAUAAAAAUACCUUAAAUCAUUGUGUUGUAAUGAAAGGUGGUCUUUGUUAUUUUCGACGAAAUUUAAGAAUGCGAAUCAGUGUUGUAAAUGAUUAACUCUAGUAUUUUUAAUUUAAGGGUCAAGUUGUAGUUUUUAUGCUCAAAACACAAGAUAUCUUCACGAAAAUUUUCAUUGUGCUGUUUGGUCUGUUGGUUGGUUUGAACCUUACUCAAAAGUUAUGCGUCCAAAACUUUUGACUCUAAUGACAAUUCCUUAAGCCAGUUAAGAAAUACCGUUCGUCAACUGCAGUAUGUAUGCAUUGGUGGAACUGGAAACUUACUACUGAUUAUAUGAUUAGUUUAAUUUUUUGCACAGAAGUGUCAAUGGACACGUAAAAGCUAUACAAUUUUGUGAAGAAAACAGCCACGGGAUGUAACCCAAAGAACCGAGUGCCAGUUCCAU